Molecule: ribosomal RNA, 253 nt
Filed under: uncultured bacterium
Lineage: Bacteria
Description: partial 16S ribosomal RNA
Rfam family: Bacterial small subunit ribosomal RNA
Source: RNAcentral
UACGAAGGGGGCUAGCGUUGCUCGGAAUCACUGGGCGUAAAGCGCACGUAGGCGGAUUGCUAAGUCAGGGGUGAAAUCCCGGGGCUCAACCUCGGAACUGCCUUUGAUACUGACAAUCUCGAGUCCGGAAGAGGUGGGUGGAAUUCCUAGUGUAGAGGUGAAAUUCGUAGAUAUUAGGAAGAACACCAGUGGCGAAGGCGGCCCACUGGUCCGGUACUGACGCUGAGGUGCGAAAGCUAGGGGAGCAAACGGG